This 692-nucleotide ribosomal RNA is filed under the name Rhizobium sp. Its description in RNAcentral is "bacterial SSU rRNA". It matches the Rfam family "Bacterial small subunit ribosomal RNA", at positions 36 to 776 of the family's 1533-position model. Lineage: Bacteria; Pseudomonadati; Pseudomonadota; Alphaproteobacteria; Hyphomicrobiales; Rhizobiaceae. The record is from RNAcentral.
CUGGCGGCAGGCUUAACACAUGCAAGUCGAGCGCCCCGCAAGGGGAGCGGCAGACGGGUGAGUAACGCGUGGGAACGUACCCUUUACUACGGAAUAACGCAGGGAAACUUGUGCUAAUACCGUAUGUGCCCUUCGGGGGAAAGAUUUAUCGGUAAAGGAUCGGCCCGCGUUGGAUUAGCUAGUUGGUGGGGUAAAGGCCUACCAAGGCGACGAUCCAUAGCUGGUCUGAGAGGAUGAUCAGCCACAUUGGGACUGAGACACGGCCCAAACUCCUACGGGAGGCAGCAGUGGGGAAUAUUGGACAAUGGGCGCAAGCCUGAUCCAGCCAUGCCGCGUGAGUGAUGAAGGCCCUAGGGUUGUAAAGCUCUUUCACCGGAGAAGAUAAUGACGGUAUCCGGAGAAGAAGCCCCGGCUAACUUCGUGCCAGCAGCCGCGGUAAUACGAAGGGGGCUAGCGUUGUUCGGAAUUACUGGGCGUAAAGCGCACGUAGGCGGAUCGAUCAGUCAGGGGUGAAAUCCCAGGGCUCAACCCUGGAACUGCCUUUGAUACUGUCGAUCUGGAGUAUGGAAGAGGUGAGUGGAAUUCCGAGUGUAGAGGUGAAAUUCGUAGAUAUUCGGAGGAACACCAGUGGCGAAGGCGGCUCACUGGUCCAUUACUGACGCUGAGGUGCGAAAGCGUGGGGAGCAAACAGG